Molecule: ribosomal RNA, 823 nt
Filed under: Arthrobacter sp.
Lineage: Bacteria; Bacillati; Actinomycetota; Actinomycetes; Micrococcales; Micrococcaceae
Description: bacterial SSU rRNA
Rfam family: Bacterial small subunit ribosomal RNA
Source: RNAcentral
CACAUGCAGUCGACGAUGAUCCGGUGCUUGCACCGGGGAUUAGUGGCGAACGGGUGAGUAACACGUGAGUAACCUGCCCUUGACUCUGGGAUAAGCCUGGGAAACCGGGUCUAAUACCGGAUACGACCUUUCACCGCAUGGUGGUUGGUGGAAAGAUUUUUUGGUUUUGGAUGGACUCGCGGCCUAUCAGCUUGUUGGUGAGGUAAUGGCUCACCAAGGCGACGACGGGUAGCCGGCCUGAGAGGGUGACCGGCCACACUGGGACUGAGACACGGCCCAGACUCCUACGGGAGGCAGCAGUGGGGAAUAUUGCACAAUGGGCGAAAGCCUGAUGCAGCGACGCCGCGUGAGGGAUGACGGCCUUCGGGUUGUAAACCUCUUUCAGCAGGGAAGAAGCGAAAGUGACGGUACCUGCAGAAGAAGCGCCGGCUAACUACGUGCCAGCAGCCGCGGUAAUACGUAGGGCGCAAGCGUUGUCCGGAAUUAUUGGGCGUAAAGAGCUCGUAGGCGGUUUGUCGCGUCUGCUGUGAAAGCCCGGGGCUCAACCCCGGGUCUGCAGUGGGUACGGGCAGACUAGAGUGCAGUAGGGGAGACUGGAAUUCCUGGUGUAGCGGUGAAAUGCGCAGAUAUCAGGAGGAACACCGAUGGCGAAGGCAGGUCUCUGGGCUGUAACUGACGCUGAGGAGCGAAAGCAUGGGGAGCGAACAGGAUUAGAUACCCUGGUAGUCCAUGCCGUAAACGUUGGGCACUAGGUGUGGGGGACAUUCCACGUUUUCCGCGCCGUAGCUAACGCAUUAAGUGCCCCGCCUGGGGAGUACGGCCG